This is a non-coding RNA of Paramuricea clavata, 260 nucleotides long. Lineage: Eukaryota; Metazoa; Cnidaria; Anthozoa; Malacalcyonacea; Plexauridae. The record is from the annotation of a GenBank genome assembly.
GCGAUUACAGUAAAUAAAAUCAUUAAUUGCUGAACUUUGUAGUGUGUGCUUAGAUUGUUUUCGGUUCACAAGUUUCUAUAACGCAUUGAAUUGUCACUCAGAACCGUUAGAUAACUUAUGUAUGUAUACCACAAAUUUUAUCGUGUAACCUUUCCCAAAAACGUCGUUCAAUACGGAUAGCGAGGACAUCAUAUUAUUGAAAUCACUAUAGACUGGAUAAUUGGUCCCUCGAGAUUUGCAUACGCGGCAUUGAUUUUAUG